CCAAAAUAACCCAACCUAACAAUUUAAUCCAACCGGCCCAUUUAUCCUUUAAGAUUUGGAUAGCCCAACAACAAUUUCAGCCCAACACCCCUAAAACCUACCCGGCCCAUAUGCUUCUCCUCCUUAACUUCCAGAAGCAGCUUCUUCAAAUCACCACCAACCAAAAUCUAAACUUAUCCGUACAAUCAAACAACAACAUUGACCAACUGAUCGAACCCCAUCGACGCCGACCCAAAAUUCGGUUCGAACCAACCCGUCACUCGACCCAAUAUCGGAAAAUCUCCAAAUCUAUCAACCCGCAUCAACCCGACUUUCUCCCUCUUCAUCGCGUGGCAAUCACGUGGUAAAAAAAUUUCUCGAAUCUUCUAGAAUAUGGUGAGUUGGCCCCUUCCAAACGUCCCACUCCACAAAUUUUGGGAUAAGGGUACAAAUUCGAGAGUUAUUUGGAGGUUUUUGAUUGGUUUGGGGGAGAUUAUUCCAUCUCCCCAUUUUCUAUUUGUGUUCUUCAAAAAUCCGUUGAGGAUAAUCCAAAAUAGAGUACGAAUUGAGGGCGAAAUGGAGUUGGAGGGAGGAUUUCGAAUUUUGAAAUGGGUUAUUUUCUAAAAUCCCAAAGAUGGCUCUCUAUAAAGCGCUCACUGAUGAGCUGGGAAAGGAGGGACGGUUGGAGAAAAAUUGGGGGAUUUUUUUUAGGCUUUUUUUGAAGAAGGGGGCUAGGUUUUGCUUUUUUUUUUUCUUUGAAGGUUAAAAUUUCUGGUUUUCUUUUGGAAUUUUUCAGGGGCAAAUUUUUUUUUUUUUCUCUCUGGUCGUUAUUCUUAGGGUCUUAGUUUGAAAGCUAGCAUCGACUCUUUUGCUUGAAGAUUGGGGUUCGAAAUUUUGUUGGGAGUUUUGAAAACAAAACUUAUUUUGUGAAAAUCUCCUCGUUCACUCCUUCUUCUUGAGGCUGGUUGAUUAACUAGAGGUUCCCGAGUCGAUAACUUCAACCCCGGAGGUAACGGUUCUUGCUGAUGGCUCGGGUCCCCAUUUGCUGCCAUGAAGGAGCUGUCGAUUGGAUCAGAGUUCUCGAAUGACUGGUUUCAGUGGUGACGACUCCAACAAAAGCCCGACGUCCCAAUUUGCUGCACCUAAAAGGUGGAUCGAGACUCGAGCUAAAAGCUCGAAAACAUAGAAAUAGAAAGGUGAAAGGAGAAAUGGGUUGAAAACCCAACUAGAUUAGGACAGGGUUAAUGGUUUGGGCUUCAAAGCCUAAAACACUACUUCUCCCCUCUCCCUUUUUCCUACUUGCUUACUUGUUUCACGUGUUUUGCGAACCUAGUUAAAAUCCUUAGCUAAGUCGCUAAAAAACUAAGUUUUGCAAAAACACCAAAAUAUUUUCAAAAUUGCCUUUCUUUCCAAAAAUCAAUCACUUUUCAACAAAAAUUAAUCUUUUCUUAGAAGUUAAUCAAAAGAUGUUUUCAAACAGUCCGGAUAACUGCAAAUUAGUGGACGUUUUAGGUGCCUAAUACCUUCUUAAAAUGUUAAUAGGAACUGCUUACUCAGAAUCUUUAACUUAAACGAUUUUUCUGUUUUUUUGAAUCGUUUAAAAUAUAAAAAGGUUUCUUAAUUUUUUUUCAAAAUUAAGUGGCGACUUUCUUUCAAAAGUCAAAAUUUCUCUGCAAAAACAUUGCCUAUGAGUUAAAUUUGCCCUCAAGCCUAGUUUCUGUUCAUCUCGUAUUUUAUGUGUCCAUGUUGAAGAAGUGCAUUGGAGAUCAUUCCCUAGUAUUGCCCCUAGAGGAGGUAAGUGUGGAAGACUCUUUGACGUAUGAAAAACCCAUUGUCAUUUUGGAUCGCCAAGUUUGAAAGUUGAGUAGCAAGGAAAUAGCUUCAGUUAAGGUGUUGUGGAGGAAUCAAAAAGCAUCGGAAGCUACUUAAGAGUCGAAAGAUGAUAUGCGUGAGAGGUACCCGACUCUUUUCGAAGCCAUAGAUGAUGAUUUAGAAGGUACAAAACCUAUAUCACUCUUUUUUUCCCAUCCAUUUAGGUCUUGAAAUUGUGCUUGUUGUAUCCCGAAUCAUCAUUCAGGGAUGAAUGAUCCCAAUGGGAUAAUGUAACACCUCGCACUUUCGGACUAGAAUUUAGACCAUCGUUCCUACGUGUAUUAAUUCGAACAAAAUUAUUCCUUGUUAAUGUAUGUGUGGUGAUCACUCCUAUAGUAUUGAAAAACCUUUGAA
Molecule: long non-coding RNA, 2205 nt
Organism: Capsicum annuum
Lineage: Eukaryota; Viridiplantae; Streptophyta; Magnoliopsida; Solanales; Solanaceae
Exons: 2
Source: RefSeq, a predicted model, not a curated record